AGCCCGCAGGAGCCGCCUCCCGGGAGGCGGGGCGGUCCCGGCUGCUGCAGCUUUUGCCUCCUCCCCUGGCUCCGGGUGGUGCUCUUCGCGGCCGCGUCAGGGAGACUGCUGGAGCAGAACUAUCAAGCAAGAGCAGGCUUUGCACUGUCAUUUGUCAUCAGGUUUGCAACCAGACUGGAAAAGCUGAAUUUGAAGCUUCCUGCCUGCAGUGAGGCCAAGAGACACCUAUUGCUCACAAAAUAAGACAUGAGCUUCAACGUGACUUUUCACCUUUCCUACAGAUUCCGAUUACUGCUGCUUUUUACCUUAUGCCUGACAGUGGUUGGGUGGGCCACCAGUAACUACUUUGUGGGUGCCAUUCAAGACAUUCCUAAAGCAAAGGAGCUCAUGGCUAAUUUCAACAAGGGUAUAGUUUGGGGGAAGAAAGGAACUGUGACAGAUGAAGCAUCUGUGAAAAAAGCAGACCUUGACAACUGCCCUUCUGUGUCUCCAUACCUCAAAGGCCAGACCAAGCUUGUUUUCAAACCAGAUCUCACUCUGGAAGAAGUACGGGCAGAAAACCCCAAAGUGCACAGAGGCCGGUAUCACCCGGAGGAAUGCAGGGCUGUGCAGCGGGUGGCCAUCCUGAUUCCUCACCGGCACAGAGAGAAGCACCUACUGUACCUGCUGGAACACCUUCACCCCUUCCUGCAGAGGCAGCAGCUGGACUAUGGCAUCUACAUCAUCCACCAGGCUGGAAAUAAAAAGUUUAAUCGCGCCAAACUCCUGAAUGUGGGCUAUCUAGAAGCUCUUAAGGAUGAAAACUGGGACUGCUUUAUAUUCCAUGAUGUGGACCUGGUGCCUGAGAAUGACUGGAACAUUUACAGGUGUGAGGAUCAGCCCAAGCAUCUGGUGGUUGGCAGGAACAGCACUGGGUACAGGUUACGGUACAGUGGAUAUUUUGGGGGUGUUACUGCCCUAAGCCGAGAGCAAUUUUUCAAGGUGAAUGGAUUCUCUAACAACUACUGGGGAUGGGGAGGCGAAGACGAUGACCUCAGACUCAGGGUUGAGCUUCAUAGAAUGAAAAUAAUCCGGCCACUACCUGAAGUGGGUAAAUAUACUAUGAUCUUUCACAAGAGAGACCAAGGCAACGAGGUGAAUAUAGAACGGAUGAAGCUCUUACAUCAAGUGUCACGUGUCUGGAGAACAGAUGGGUUGACCAGUUGUGAUUAUAAAUUACUCUCUGUGGAUUACAAUCCUUUAUAUAUCAAUAUCACAGUGGAUUUCUUGUCUAGUCCAUGACUCUGGAUCUUUUGGUGACAUUUGGAGGAACUGAAUAUUUGAUUGCAAUAAUUUUGACCUAGAGAUUCCCCUGGUAGCACACAUUAAGAACUUGUUGCAGCCAAUCAUUGAGCUGAAUUCUCCUUUUUUGGUGUUUUCUUAGCAGAGCUCCUGGUGAUGUGGAGUGUAAAACAAUUGUAACAAGACAGCUUUCUUAGUUGUUUUGAUCAUGAAGGUUAAAUAUUGUAAUGUAGAUACUUGAAGGACUAGGUGUCAAAGGACUACACAAAAGAUCUCAUGAAGGCUACAUACAUAUUUUCUGAUAUAUUAAAAAGGCCAUGGGAGGUAAGAUUGCUAAAUGUCCCGGAGAACCAGAAUUAUUCUCAUCCAAGGGAGACAGAGAUGAAGAUGUGUUUCUCUUACUUAUUUAUCCUGUAUGGCCAUCUGUGAAGAGGUGGGUCCCCGGUGAGAAGGCAGCCAAGGAAGAGGAGACAAAAGGUGAAGAAUCAAGGUGCAGUGAACUUGGCACUGAAGAGGUGGCAGAAGGACUGUGUCAGAUGGAGAGCUGCUGUGGUGCUGCUGCUGCUGCGGCUGUGCUGCUGCUGCGGCUGUCACUCUGCAGUGGUGUCACCUGCCCAGAUGAGCCUUCUGGUAACAACCUAGCAGAGAACACGUUACCUACUCAUUUUUAGAGCAUUUUUGUAAAAUGAUUUUGUACGUGUAGGAUAUGAAAUAGUUGUUUACAAAUUACAUAUUAACAAUAAUACCUACAAAGUACCUCUGUAGUAAAAUAUGAAAAAGC
Molecule: long non-coding RNA, 2062 nt
Organism: Sus scrofa (pig)
Lineage: Eukaryota; Metazoa; Chordata; Mammalia; Artiodactyla; Suidae
Product: beta-1,4-galactosyltransferase 4
Source: RefSeq, a predicted model, not a curated record